GAUGAACGCUGGCGGCGUGCCUAAUACAUGCAAGUCGAGCGAACGGACGAGAAGCUUGCUUCUCUGAUGUUAGCGGCGGACGGGUGAGUAACACGUGGAUAACCUACCUAUAAGACUGGGAUAACUUCGGGAAACCGGAGCUAAUACCGGAUAAUAUUUUGAACCGCAUGGUUCAAAAGUGAAAGACGGUCUUGCUGUCACUUAUAGAUGGAUCCGCGCUGCAUUAGCUAGUUGGUAAGGUAACGGCUUACCAGGGCAACGAUGCAUAGCCGACCUGAGAGGGUGAUCGGCCACACUGGAACUGAGACACGGUCCUGACUCCUACGGGAGGCAGCAGUAGGGAAUCUUCCGCAAUGGGCGAAGGCCUGACGGAGCAACGCCGCGUGAGUGAUGAAGGUCUUCGGAUCGUAAAACUCUGUUAUUAGGGAAGAACAUAUGUGUAAGUAACUGUGCACAUCUUGACGGUACCUAAUCAGAAAGCCACGGCUAACUACGUG
RNAcentral lists this ribosomal RNA (497 nucleotides) under uncultured bacterium. RNAcentral's name for it is "partial 16S ribosomal RNA". It matches the Rfam family "Bacterial small subunit ribosomal RNA", at positions 28 to 507 of the family's 1533-position model. The record is from RNAcentral.